Molecule: ribosomal RNA, 497 nt
Filed under: uncultured bacterium
Lineage: Bacteria
Description: bacterial SSU rRNA
Rfam family: Bacterial small subunit ribosomal RNA
Source: RNAcentral
AAAGGAAUAGACGGGGACCCGCACAAGCAGCGGAGCAUGUGGUUUAAUUCGAAGCAACGCGAAGAACCUUACCUGGACUUGACAUCCUUUAGAAAUCUCCUUAACCGGAGCCCUCCCUUCGGGGACUGAAGAGACAGGUGGUGCAUGGUUGUCGUCAGCUCGUGUCGUGAGAUGUUGGGUUAAGUCCCGCAACGAGCGCAACCCUUGCCUUUAGUUGCCAUCAGGUAAAGCUGGGCACUCUAGAGGGACUGCCGGGGAUAACUCGGAGGAAGGUGGGGAUGACGUCAAAUCAUCAUGCCCCUUAUGUUCAGGGCUACACACGUGCUACAAUGGCCGAUACAAAGGGACGCCAAGGAGUAAUCCGGAGCAAAUCCCAUAAAGUCGGUCCCAGUUCGGAUUGUGGGCUGAAACUCGCCCACAUGAAGUCGGAGUUGCUAGUAAUCGCGAAUCAGAAUGUCGCGGUGAAUGCGUUCCCGGGUCUUGUACACACCGCCCGU